RNAcentral lists this ribosomal RNA (367 nucleotides) under uncultured bacterium. RNAcentral's name for it is "bacterial SSU rRNA". It matches the Rfam family "Bacterial small subunit ribosomal RNA", at positions 527 to 896 of the family's 1533-position model. The record is from RNAcentral.
GGAGGGUGCAAGCGUUGUCCGGAUUUAUUGGGUUUAAAGGGUGCGUAGGCGGCUUUUUAAGUCAGUGGUGAAAUCCAGCAGCUUAACUGUUGAAUUGCCAUUGAUACUGGAGAGCUUGAGUACAGACGAGGUAGGCGGAAUUUAUGGUGUAGCGGUGAAAUGCAUAGAUACCAUAAAGAACACCGAUUGCGAAGGCAGCUUACUAGGCUGUAACUGACGCUGAGGCACGAAAGUGUGGGGAUCAAACAGGAUUAGAUACCCUGGUAGUCCACACUGUAAACGAUGAUUACUCGAUGUGUGCGAUAGACAGUACGCGUCCAAGCGAAAGCGUUAAGUAAUCCACCUGGGGAGUACGAUCGCAAGAUUG